RNAcentral lists this ribosomal RNA (1336 nucleotides) under uncultured bacterium. RNAcentral describes it as "bacterial SSU rRNA". It matches the Rfam family "Bacterial small subunit ribosomal RNA", at positions 69 to 1399 of the family's 1533-position model. The record is from RNAcentral.
AGAGACCUUCGGGUCUCUAGUGGCGAACGGGUGAGUAACACGUAGGGAACCUGCCCCGGAGCGGGGGAUAACAUUUGGAAACAGAUGCUAAUACCGCAUAACAACAAAAGCCACAUGGCUUUUGUUUGAAAGAUGGCUUUGGCUAUCACUCUGGGAUGGACCUGCGGUGCAUUAGCUAGUUGGUAAGGUAACGGCUUACCAAGGCGAUGAUGCAUAGCCGAGUUGAGAGACUGAUCGGCCACAAUGGAACUGAGACACGGUCCAUACUCCUACGGGAGGCAGCAGUAGGGAAUCUUCCACAAUGGGCGCAAGCCUGAUGGAGCAACACCGUGUGAGUGAAGAAGGGUUUCGGCUCGUAAAGCUCUGUUGGUAGUGAAGAAAGAUAGAGGUAGUAACUGGCCUUUAUUUGACGGUAAUUACUUAGAAAGUCACGGCUAACUACGUGCCAGCAGCCGCGGUAAUACGUAGGUGGCAAGCGUUGUCCGGAUUUAUUGGGCGUAAAGCGAGUGCAGGUGGUUCAAUAAGUCUGAUGUGAAAGCCUUCGGCUCAACCGGAGAAUUGCAUCAGAAACUGUUGAACUUGAGUGCAGAAGAGGAGGGUGGAACUCCAUGUGUAGCGGUGGAAUGCGUAGAUAUAUGGAAGAACACCAGUGGCGAAGGCGGCUCUCUGGUCUGCAACUGACGCUGAGGCUCGAAAGCAUGGGUAGCGAACAGGAUUAGAUACCCUGGUAGUCCAUGCCGUAAACGAUGAGUGCUAAGUGUUGGGAGGUUUCCGCCUCUCAGUGCUGCAGCUAACGCAUUAAGCACUCCGCCCGGGGAGUACGACCGCAAGGUUGAAACUCAAAGGAAUUGACGGGGGCCCGCACAAGCGGUGGAGCAUGUGGUUUAAUUCGAAGCUACGCGAAGAACCUUACCAGGUCUUGACAUCUUGCGCUAACCUUAGAGAUAAGGCGUUCCCUUCGGGGACGCAAUGACAGGUGGUGCAUGGUCGUCGUCAGCUCGUGUCGUGAGAUGUUGGGUUAAGUCCCGCAACGAGCGCAACCCUUGUUACUAGUUGCCAGCAUUAAGUUGGGCACUCUAGUGAGACUGCCGGUGACAAACCGGAGGAAGGUGGGGACGACGUCAGAUCAUCAUGCCCCUUAUGACCUGGGCUACACACGUGCUACAAUGGACGGUACAACGAGUCGCAAGCUCGCGAGAGUAAGCUAAUCUCUUAAAGCCGUUCUCAGUUCGGACUGUAGGCUGCAACUCGCCUACACGAAGUCGGAAUCGCUAGUAAUCGCGGAUCAGCAUGCCGCGGUGAAUACGUUCCCGGGCCUUGCACACACCGCCCGUCA